This 546-nucleotide ribosomal RNA is filed under the name uncultured bacterium. Its description in RNAcentral is "bacterial SSU rRNA". It matches the Rfam family "Bacterial small subunit ribosomal RNA", at positions 338 to 867 of the family's 1533-position model. The record is from RNAcentral.
CCUACGGGAGGCAGCAGUGGGGAAUAUUGGACAAUGGGCGAAAGCCUGAUCCAGCCAUGCCGCGUGUGUGAAGAAGGUCUUCGGAUUGUAAAGCACUUUAAGUUGGGAGGAAGGGCAGUAAGCGAAUACCUUGCUGUUUUGACGUUACCGACAGAAUAAGCACCGGCUAACUCUGUGCCAGCAGCCGCGGUAAUACAGAGGGUGCAAGCGUUAAUCGGAAUUACUGGGCGUAAAGCGCGCGUAGGUGGUUUGUUAAGUUGAAUGUGAAAUCCCCGGGCUCAACCUGGGAACUGCAUCCAAAACUGGCAAGCUAGAGUAGGGCAGAGGGUGGUGGAAUUUCCUGUGUAGCGGUGAAAUGCGUAGAUAUAGGAAGGAACACCAGUGGCGAAGGCGACCACCUGGGCUCAUACUGACACUGAGGUGCGAAAGCGUGGGGAGCAAACGAGGUAUUAGACUACCCGUGGUACGUCCGACGACCGUAACCGUACGUAGUACACUACGUACGUUACGGUACGUACCGUUCGUAGUCGUUUACGUUGGUCGCGA